Molecule: long non-coding RNA, 434 nt
Organism: Gadus macrocephalus (Pacific cod)
Lineage: Eukaryota; Metazoa; Chordata; Actinopteri; Gadiformes; Gadidae
Exons: 2
Source: RefSeq, a predicted model, not a curated record
CAGAGAGCCUGGAGCUCACGGGACAACAUUCACACACAUUCUGCUUCAUGAAGAGGUCAGAUUAUCGUCAGACCAUAGACAUUACAUGUAAGGACACUGAACAUUUGGCCGGAUUACACAUAGAAAUGCAAUCCAAAACAAAAUGGGUAAAGAUAAAGCAUGUUUAUUGAUGCGGCAAACAAAGGUUCAAAUAUCCUCCAAAGCACUUCAAGCCCUCAAAGAAUGAAACUCAAAACGCAGAUGAGGUAAAAGAAGAAACUUCUAAAUUAAAGUGGAGCGACCCAGGGACAAGUCUGGUUUGGGUUAAAGAUUAUGGAUGGUUAACUUUGUGUAACGUGUUUGGACAAGCAAGUUUAGGUUUUAGGCAAGCGACUUCAGGUAUUAGGCAAGCGACUUCAGGUAUUAGGCAAGCGAGUUUAGCCAAGCGAGUACAG